UAUCUAAAGCCAACAGAUACAAGUAGAAACUCCUUUCCUAUCUACCGGCUUUACCCAAGGAAGUGCACAUGCACCAUUCAUAUUCAACUAAGUAUUCUCAUAUCUUGGCUUUUGAGAAACAAUUUCCACCUCACCACAAACAGUAAUGUUAUAAGGGCUUAUUAGAAAUAUUUACUAUAUUAAUAAACACUAUAAAAAUUGAAAUUUCAAAUUGACAGUCUAUUUCCUAGUGCUUUUUAAAAUAAUCAUUGACAUAUUAGAUAUAACUUUAUUAUGAGAUUAGAAAAGCAGUUACAGUUCAUAUUCUUUUAAUAAAUUACUCUAGACUUCACUACAUUUCCUAAGACAAUUUCAUUGUACACAUAAAGAGCAAUUUGGAUAAAUCUGGGGAUCUCUUCCAAGGAGAAAUUUCUCUCUCUUUCUAUCUCCCAUUUCUAAGCUGUCAGAAGGGAAGUCAAUUAUAAACAAGUAAAACUCCAGCUGCAGUAGUCCUUGUUCUGUCACUCAGUAAUUGUGUGAUCGUGGCUAAGUUAUUCCAUUCUGAGCAUCAGUGUCCCUGUCUACAAAAUGAAGAAUUUAGGCUGGAUAAUAACCAUAGAUCUGUACAGUUAUAAAACCUUUUAAAUUCUAUUUUUUUUUAAUUUGAAUU
Long non-coding RNA from Phyllostomus discolor (pale spear-nosed bat), 649 nucleotides. RefSeq lists it as uncharacterized. The record is from RefSeq and is a predicted model, not a curated record. NCBI's taxonomy places the organism in Eukaryota, Metazoa, Chordata, Mammalia, Chiroptera, Phyllostomidae. The transcript is spliced from 3 exons.